RNAcentral lists this non-coding RNA (131 nucleotides) under Palpitomonas bilix. The record is from RNAcentral.
AUGGCAAAAAUAUCAGUGUUCGCGGUUCUUAUUGUGCUGCUCGUUGCUAUCACAUCGACGUGGGCCUCCUCUCCCCAGCCUGUUGAGGCUGAACGAGCUGUCCUUCAGCUGACGAAAGAUGAAUCAUACAA